RNAcentral lists this long non-coding RNA (1326 nucleotides) under Citrus x clementina. Its description in RNAcentral is "Citrus clementina (C. clementina) long non-coding RNA (CCLE_LNC005259)". The record is from RNAcentral. Lineage: Eukaryota; Viridiplantae; Streptophyta; Magnoliopsida; Sapindales; Rutaceae.
UCUCCAUAAUUCUCGGAUUAAAAAUCUUGGCAGGUAGUUUUUUUAAAAAAAAUUAAUAGCAUUCUCUAAAUUAGAUAAAAGAUGCAUUUUACAAGGAGAGAGGAAGGAGAAUUUUCCCUUUAUGCGGAAUUAAUGCUGAGCUUCUAAUACAUCCGGCGCCCGCAAUCUCAAUCCUCUUUGUUUCAUUUUUUUUUUUCAAAUUUCUUCCUGAUUUUCGGUAUUAAACAACUUUUUUUUUCAACGCUCCAUUGAUGGAAGAACCACCAAAUACAGAAAAAAGAGUGCAAUUCAAGCAAGAAUUAUUUGACCAAUUGAUUGAAAAUUUUAUAUUAGUUUAUUAAUUUAAUUUAAUUAUCUGGCGAAAUGCCAGCGAAGCAGCAGCUAGGCUAAGGCUAGCAAUGGACUGGAGGCAAAAGCAGCCUCCGAAUAAACUCAUACGUACCAGAAACUGAAAGAUAAAAGUCAAGAAGGCUCCAAAAGAAUGUGUACGUGCGAGUGUGUUUUCGCAAAUCUCGAUGAAUUAAUAAUAAUUUUAUUAACUAAGUUGGUUGAGAUUGAGGAGGGAGGGUGAUAAUUAUUCCUGAUCGAUGGAAUGGAAUGGGGGGAACUGUUUGAUGGUCAAUGAUGAACAGAGGGCAUCGAAUCGGUGACGACUGACGAGAUAUUCGUUGUUGACGUUUUGGGCAUAACGUUUUGAUGUGACUGCAUGGGAUACGUAUGAAUGAGGGUGAAGCCCCGCAGACCGCAGUGAUGAUACCCAAGCCGGCGCCCUUUUGUUGCAUUCAAAGUCUGGCAAACUUCUAAGUUAAUGCAAGUUCCAACCACAAUCAUAAAUAGUAUGUAAUGUGGGUUCACGUACUAUUUUUGAUUAUAAGUUACAUUACAUGUAAUUUAAAAAGUCCUCAAUCUCAUUGUAUGAGUUUAUUUAAUCGCCAUCAUAAUUUUAUCCCACCAUAAGGUUCCCGUUGAUGAAAUUUUCUUGAUUUUUACUACAAGAUAGGGAUAUAUAAUUUAAUUAUUAUUGUUAUUAUGAAUAAUUUUUAAUAAUAUUAAAAUUAUGAAGAAACCAACUCCUAAAUGAGGGAGAAAAAAAUUUACUCACGCACCUCAAUAAUAGUAUUGUAACCUUUAUAAUUUAAUGCUCGGUAAAUUAAUAAUCUUUAUUAUGUAAUAAUUUUUUGCAGUCCCGACUUGGGCUAAAGAGCUAAAUUCAUAAGUUUGAGAAAUUAACAAGGUAAUAUUUUUCUGAAAAUCAUUGUACAAUUUUGUGAACCCAUUCAUAUCAUAAGUUAAUAAUAUAUAAAAAUUACAAAUAUUAUUGCUAUG